Molecule: transfer RNA, 76 nt
Filed under: Chlamydia trachomatis
Lineage: Bacteria; Pseudomonadati; Chlamydiota; Chlamydiia; Chlamydiales; Chlamydiaceae
Also listed under: 2 other names
Description: tRNA-Phe(gaa)
Rfam family: tRNA
About the family: Transfer RNA (tRNA) molecules are approximately 80 nucleotides in length. Their secondary structure includes four short double-helical elements and three loops (D, anti-codon, and T loops).
Source: RNAcentral
GGUCCCUUAGCUCAGUCGGUAGAGCAACGGACUGAAAAUCCGUGUGUCGCUGGUUCAAUUCCGGCAGGGACCACCA